UACGAAGGGGGUUAGCGUUGCUCGGAAUCACUGGGCGUAAAGGGUGCGUAGGCGGGUCUUUAAGUCAGGGGUGAAAUCCUGGAGCUCAACUCCAGAACUGCCUUUGAUACUGAAGAUCUUGAGUUCGGGAGAGGUGAGUGGAACUGCGAGUGUAGAGGUGAAAUUCGUAGAUAUUCGCAAGAACACCAGUGGCGAAGGCGGCUCACUGGCCCGAUACUGACGCUGAUGCACGAAAGCGUGGGGAGCAAACAGG
RNAcentral lists this ribosomal RNA (253 nucleotides) under uncultured bacterium. Its description in RNAcentral is "partial 16S ribosomal RNA". It matches the Rfam family "Bacterial small subunit ribosomal RNA", at positions 524 to 776 of the family's 1533-position model. The record is from RNAcentral.